Molecule: ribosomal RNA, 229 nt
Filed under: uncultured bacterium
Lineage: Bacteria
Description: partial 16S ribosomal RNA
Rfam family: Bacterial small subunit ribosomal RNA
Source: RNAcentral
UGCGCAGGCGGACCUGCCAGUCAGUGGUGAAAUCCCGAGGCUCAACUUCGGAACUGCCAUUGAUACUACAGGUCUUGAAUACGGUUGAGGUAGGCGGAAUGAAGCAUGUAGCGGUGAAAUGCAUAGAUAUGCUACAGAACACCGAUCGCGAAGGCAGCUUACCAAGCCGAUAUUGACGCUCAGGCACGAAAGCGUGGGGAGCGAACAGGAUUAGAUACCCUGGUAGUCC